GAAGUUUCUCCCAAGAGAAGUAAGAAACAUGUAAGAAUUGUGACGUCACCAUCCGAUUGUUUAAAGACGACACCAACAACAACUUAUACAGUUUUACCGACCAUUACUCCUUACUCUCCUGAUGAGAAAAAUAACUGGUAUCACGUCUACACCUCCGUCCAGAAUAAAAUAUUAAACGGUCUGAGCUUAUCAACACCAUGCACUGAAUCCCAGACAACACCUACAACAUCUGGGGGUCUACAUCUAUCGGAACAAGAAACAUCUAGUGGUCAAUCUAUCUGUUUAUCUGGUCAAGGAACAUCUAGUGGUCAAUCUAUCUGUUUAUCUGGUCAAGGAACAUCUAGUGGUCAGUCCAUCUGUUUAUCUGGUCAAGGAAGCUAUGUGUAUACUCCUCAUCCUAAAACUGGUCAGUUAUUUUAUUUAUCUGCUGGGGUUGAUGGUUCACCACAACUUUCACUCUGUCCUCCACCGUUUCAAACACCCGACACCGUCACUAAAUCUACUGCUGUAGAACGACCAACACCUUCAUCACCGUUUGCACAGUUACAGCCUACCACGUUAUGUUUAAACAGUAGCGGCGAGGAGCCCGUCCAGAUACCUAAUGAUCACGUCAACGAUACACUCACGUUAAAUGCUGAUAAUUUUGUUUGUAAGAAACCUAAUUAUGAAUUACUCCAGUCUCCAGAAGUUCAUGAAGAGGAACCGAGAGAGACACAUAAUUUAAAGGAAAGACGAAGAAGAGCCCGUAUAAAGGAAGCGUGUGACUUAAUGAGGAAUUUGAUACCUGGAAUGUCUGAGAAAACCGAUAAAGCUACUGUGUUUGAGUUCGCUGCUAGAUAUAUCCACUUUCUAAAAACAUACACAGGAAGUCAGUAUGAUAAGGAUUUUCUUAUUAAAUACAGCCCUUACUGAUACACGGACCAUAUGAAAUUAUCAAGAGUCGGAAGUCAAGUUUCAAGUCGAUGUCCAUCACAUCCUUGAGUCUAUAAGUGGAACAAAUUGGCUAGACCAAACGCCCUUGGUUGUUUGUAGCAUUAUUUUCAAUUAUCCCAAAUACCAAAAACACUCAAACUAAAAGAUUAUGAAAAUUACCGAUUUUAAUAAUGCAGUCUGUAUGUAUAUAAACCUUUGCAGG
This is a long non-coding RNA of Patella vulgata (common limpet), 1135 nucleotides long. RefSeq lists it as uncharacterized. NCBI's taxonomy places the organism in Eukaryota, Metazoa, Mollusca, Gastropoda, Patellidae. The record is from RefSeq and is a predicted model, not a curated record. The transcript has 5 exons.